RNAcentral lists this ribosomal RNA (254 nucleotides) under uncultured bacterium. Its description in RNAcentral is "partial 16S ribosomal RNA". It matches the Rfam family "Bacterial small subunit ribosomal RNA", at positions 524 to 776 of the family's 1533-position model. The record is from RNAcentral.
UACGUAGGGUGCAAGCGUUGUCCGGAUUUAUUGGGCGUAAAGAGCUCGUAGGCGGUUCGGUAAGUCGGAUGUGAAAACUCAGGGCUCAACCCGGAGACGCCAUCCGAUACUGCUGUGACUUGAGUCUGGUAGGGGAACACGGAAUACCUGGUGUAGCGGUGAAAUGCGCAGAUAUCAGGUGGAACACCGAUGGCGAAGGCAGUGUUCUGGGCCAGUACUGACGCUGAGGAGCGAAAGCGUGGGGAGCAAACAGG